Long non-coding RNA from Astyanax mexicanus (Mexican tetra), 926 nucleotides. RefSeq lists it as uncharacterized. The record is from RefSeq and is a predicted model, not a curated record. The transcript is spliced from 3 exons. Lineage: Eukaryota; Metazoa; Chordata; Actinopteri; Characiformes; Acestrorhamphidae.
UGGUAUCCGGGGUGGUUGCUAAGGUGCUGCUAGGUGGUUGCAAGGUGGUUGCUAAGGUGUUGCUAGGCGGUUGCUAAGGUGUUGCUAUGGUGUCUGGGGUGGUUCCUAAGGUGUUGCUAGGUGGUUGCUAAGGUGUUGCUAUGGUAUCUGGGGUGGUUGCUAAGGUGUUGCUAGGUGGUUGCUAAGGUGUUGCUAGAUGGUUGCUAAGGUGUUGCUAUGGUAUCUGGGGUGGUUGCUAAGGUGUUGCUAGGCGGUUGCCAAGGUGUUGCUAUGGUAUCCGAGGUGGUUGCUAAAUGGUUACUAGGCAGUUGCUAACGUAUUCCACAUGGUUGCUAAGUGGUUGCUAGGCACUUGCUAAUGUUUUCCAGGUGGUUGCUAAGGUGUUGCUAACUGGUUGCUAGGCAGUUGCUAACGUAUUCCACAUGGUUGCUAAGUGGUUGCUAGGCAGUUGUGAUCAUUUCUAAAGUGGUUGCUAAGUGGUUUCUAGGCAGUUGCUAACAUUUUCCAGGUGGUUGCUAAGGUGUUGCUAACUGGUUGCUAGGCAGUUGCUAACAUAUUCCAGAUGGUUGCUGAGCGGUUGUGAUCAUUUCUAAAGUGGUUGCUAGGCAGUUGCUAAUGUUUACCAGGUGGUUGCUAAGGUGUUGAUAACUGGUUGCUAGGUUGUUGCUAUCAUUUCUAAAAUGGUUGAAGUAGAGAAAAAGAGAGAGUGUUAAAUGUAGAAGUACAGAAAAAGGGAGAGCAAGAAAUAAAGAAGUAGGGAGAAAAUCGCGAGAAAAAGAGAAAGAACACGCGAGAAUGUGAGAAAAAAAGUUGAGAGAAAUAUUGAGCGAGAAAAAGAGAAUUAGAGAAAAAGGGACAUCGAGAAAUAAAGAAGUAGAGAAAGAAAGAGGAAGUAGUAGAGAGAUAGAUAGAAAGAGAAAGCAAGA